Molecule: unclassified non-coding RNA, 198 nt
Filed under: uncultured Tomentella
Lineage: Eukaryota; Fungi; Basidiomycota; Agaricomycetes; Thelephorales; Thelephoraceae
Description: sequence contains ITS1
Source: RNAcentral
CUGAACUGUCGACACGAGUUGUUGCUGGUCCUCGAAAGGGGCAUGUGCACGCUCUGUUUACACAUCCACUCACACCUGUGCACCCUCUGUAGUUCUGUGGUAUUGGGGACUCUGUCCUCUUGCCGUGGUCCUACGUCUUUACACACACACCGUAAUACAGUCUCAUGGAAUGUAUGUCGCGUUUAACGCAAUACAAUA